RNAcentral lists this ribosomal RNA (535 nucleotides) under Fusarium sp. BAB-4835. RNAcentral's name for it is "eukaryotic LSU rRNA". The stretch from base 166 to 319 matches the Rfam family "5.8S ribosomal RNA". Lineage: Eukaryota; Fungi; Ascomycota; Sordariomycetes; Hypocreales; Nectriaceae. The record is from RNAcentral.
UGCGGAGGGAUCAUUACCGAGUUUACAACUCCCAAACCCCUGUGAACAUACCUAUACGUUGCCUCGGCGGAUCAGCCCGCGCCCCGUAAAACGGGACGGCCCGCCCGAGGACCCCUAAACUCUGUUUUUAGUGGAACUUCUGAGUAAAACAAACAAAUAAAUCAAAACUUUCAACAACGGAUCUCUUGGUUCUGGCAUCGAUGAAGAACGCAGCAAAAUGCGAUAAGUAAUGUGAAUUGCAGAAUUCAGUGAAUCAUCGAAUCUUUGAACGCACAUUGCGCCCGCCAGUAUUCUGGCGGGCAUGCCUGUUCGAGCGUCAUUUCAACCCUCAAGCUCAGCUUGGUGUUGGGACUCGCGGUAACCCGCGUUCCCCAAAUCGAUUGGCGGUCACGUCGAGCUUCCAUAGCGUAGUAAUCAUACACCUCGUUACUGGUAAUCGUCGCGGCCACGCCGUAAAACCCCAACUUCUGAAUGUUGACCUCGGAUCAGGUAGGAAUACCCGCUGAACUUAAGCAUAUCAAUAAGGCGGGAGGAA